This 1628-nucleotide long non-coding RNA is filed under the name Setaria viridis. Its description in RNAcentral is "long non-coding RNA (SVIR_LNC004305)". The record is from RNAcentral. Lineage: Eukaryota; Viridiplantae; Streptophyta; Magnoliopsida; Poales; Poaceae.
ACUAGCACAAGAAAUCAGGAACCAAACAACAGCAUGAUCUAUAUGUUGAAAAUAAACACAAACUGAUUACCAAGGAAAAUUUUCUGAGAUAACAUGGGUGGCAUUAUUUUUAAAUGACUGAACAUGCAUAAGCACACUAUCAGGAAUUGGCUCCACAAUUAGCUAAGCAUACAGCAAGUUAGGCAUCCCUAUGAGUCUUGUAGGAACAAUUCAACCACAUUUCAUGACCAAGCAUAUUUCUAACAUGACGAACAAGUUUAGGGAAACAACAGUGCUAGUCUCAUGUAACUGGGUGGUAUGACUAUUUAACUACGGAUUUCAAACACGCAUCUAGACUAACACAAAUGAUUUUAUAGCUUUUCCCUAGUAACAUGCAACACCUUCGGAAUUGGUUUUUAGGGCAUCAGAUGGUGGAUGGAUGUAACUAGUAGUUCUAGACAUACACAAUGCAUAAGUAGCAAGUUGGGAUAUCAAUUUCAGGUGCAUUCUUUAUGAGAACUACAAGUUUAAUGUUUCUUGAUUAAAUUGGACUAUCAAAACUAGUAGCUUUGAAAGGCAUGUAAAUAAAAGGAAACAGUACGAAUCAAUCGUUAACAAAACAAUUUAGCUAGAUCCAAUACAACUCACACAAGCACAAUGAGAGAAACCAUUUUGCACAAUAAGCUAAACAAGCACGAAUUUGCAAGAUUAAAAUCUUUUGUGGAGAACUAAACAUGAAAUAAAUGGCACUAGCAAGAGAUGGCACUACCAAGUCAUGAGAGUUGGAUUCACAUAAAAAUCAAUUUUUAAUGUAGAGAUAUAGAGUAAACAAGAUAAACUGCCAUUAAACAAAUUAAAUCUAAAAAGGUUUGUAAAUCAACCAUACAAGUAUCAUCAUCACUUUUCCUAGAUCCUAUGUGGAAAACAAAGUUUAAUUGAAGUGGUUUCAUCAUUUUAUCACUUUUCCAGUAUUUAUCAUGCAAUCAGCAAUAUUAACAUAGCAAACAAGCAUUUAAAUCUAAAACAGUAGGAACAACAAGGAUUCUACUAACACAAGUUAUAUAUCUGAAACAUGCAUGUUACAAGGAAGCUAACAAAAGUGGUUUUACAAUUUUUAGUGCACUAGGUGAUCUAUAAAGCAUUUAAUGGCUUUCACACAAAAUAAAUCAUAGCACAAAGUAUAAAACAGCAACAUCCACAAAUCAUUUUUGAAAUAAACUAGACACCACAAGGAAACCAACAAAAUAAGAAUCACAUUUUUAGCAUUUUUCUAGAAGUUUCUAUGUAUUUUCUUGCAACAUUUUAAAACCACCAAUUAAAACAAAACCGAGCCAACUUGCAAGCUACCCCCUGAAAAUAAAUUUUCUUUCUCAGAUCCGCCCUUCUCUUAACACUCUACCCCCUGCGUUUCGCGCUCAAGUCCCUGGGAAGAAUCCCACCUCACACAUAAAACCUGAAACUUUCCCCAUAACCCCCUUACCUUCUAUUCCUCUCGCGAACGGGUCCUUCUUCAACCUCCAGAACAGAUCACGCACAGGCAUGGCAGUUCACGCAUGGGCACACACAGGCCGGUCGGGAACAAGGGGAGGACGGCGCUGCGACACUAGGGGGAGGCAGUGGCACCAUGCCCAGGCCAGGGGGCCUCCCUG